RNAcentral lists this unclassified non-coding RNA (345 nucleotides) under soil metagenome. RNAcentral's name for it is "partial contains 5.8S ribosomal RNA, internal transcribed spacer 2, and large subunit ribosomal RNA". The stretch from base 1 to 120 matches the Rfam family "5.8S ribosomal RNA", at positions 35 to 154 of the family's 154-position model. The record is from RNAcentral.
GAUGAAGAACGUAGCGGAAUGCGAUACGUAAUGUGAAUUGCAGAAUUCAGUGAAUCAUCGAGUCUUUGAACGCACAUUGCGCCCCCUGGUAUUCCGGGGGGCAUGCCUGUCCGAGCGUCAUUGCUGCCCUCAAGCACGGCUUGUGUGUUGGGCCUCCGUCCUCCUCCCGGGGGACGGGCCCGAAAGGCAGCGGCGGCACCGCGUCCGGUCCUCGAGCGUAUGGGGCUUCGUCACCCGCUCUUGUAGGCCCGGCCGGCGCUUGCCGACACAUCAAUCUUUUUUCCAGGUUGACCUCGGAUCAGGUAGGAAUACCCGCUGAACUUAAGCAUAUCAAUAAGCGGAGGA